AAACCAACCGGGAUUGCCUUAGUAACGGCGAGUGAAGCGGCAAAAGCUCAAAUUUGAAAUCUGGCGCCUUUGGUGUCCGAGUUGUAAUUUGAAGAAAGUAACUUUUGGAAUGAGCCUUGCAUAAGUUCCUUGGAAAAGGACGUCAUAGAGGGUGAGAAUCCCGUAUAUGGUGGGGUAUUCAUUUCAAUGUAAAGUGCUUUCGAAGAGUCGAGUUGUUUGGGAAUGCAGCUCUAAGUGGGUGGUAAAUUCCAUCUAAAGCUAAAUAUUGGCGAGAGACCGAUAGCGAACAAGUACAGUGAUGGAAAGAUGAAAAGAACUUUGAAAAGAGAGUGAAAAAGUACGUGAAAUUGUUGAAAGGGAAGGGCUUGAAAUCAGACUUGGUAUUCAGUGAUCAGCGAUCUCUCGGGGUUGUGCACUUGCUGUUUACUGGGCCAGCAUCGGUUUUGACGGUGGGAUAAUAGCAUUGGAAUGUGGCUCUCUUCGGGGAGUGUUUAUAGCCUUUGUUGAUAUCACCAGUUGAGACCGAGGACCGCGCAUUUUUUGCUAGGAUGCUGGCGUAAUGAUUUUAAGCCAC
Molecule: ribosomal RNA, 574 nt
Filed under: Spencermartinsiella ligniputridi
Lineage: Eukaryota; Fungi; Ascomycota; Dipodascomycetes; Dipodascales; Trichomonascaceae
Description: eukaryotic LSU rRNA
Rfam family: Eukaryotic large subunit ribosomal RNA
Source: RNAcentral